RNAcentral lists this long non-coding RNA (574 nucleotides) under Helianthus annuus (common sunflower). Its description in RNAcentral is "sRNA HanXRQr2_Chr01g0026651". The record is from RNAcentral. Lineage: Eukaryota; Viridiplantae; Streptophyta; Magnoliopsida; Asterales; Asteraceae.
AAAGAAAUCACCACUUUCAACCUAUUAUUAUAUACAUCAAUUACCAUCGUCGAUUUGCGCCAACAGAGGAAGGGAGAGAGGUGGUAGGCACAGUGGACCACCGACGGAGGGCGGCGGCUUACAACGCUGAGGACGUCGUCAUCGUUUUCCUCGGUCACUUGAAAACAGAUCUGCCGGUUGUGGCUUCUAGAACAAAGGCAACGUCAUACCGCCGACAAUAGCAGCGACGGAGAUAGCGAUUCUUUGUCAAGGAAUGGGCGGUGAUGAAGGUUCAACAGCACGGCCCGAGACCUGGUUGCGCGGUCGAUAUGUCAAGGAAUGGGCGGAUUGACUUUCUAACGAACUCGGCUAGUGUUCCGGUAAUUCAAUUCAGGUUCACAUGUCUCAUCGCAAGAUAAUCUCAGUGUAAAUAUCAUAAUUAAAACCUAAAAAUCAUGUUUAUGGAGAUUUUCUUUGAGAUCAAAGUUAUAUGAAUUUUUCGAUACAUUUUGUGUGCGACUAUCUAAAAGAAAAUUUGACUAUUGGUCAAUUGUAUAGUUUGAAUAUGAAAAUUCAAAACCCGGUUACAACUUAG